Molecule: long non-coding RNA, 1295 nt
Filed under: Sus scrofa (pig)
Lineage: Eukaryota; Metazoa; Chordata; Mammalia; Artiodactyla; Suidae
Description: lncRNA (ENSSSCG00015063882.1)
Source: RNAcentral
GAAAAACCCCAAAUAACCCACAUACUUUAUUCUUGCUGAUUUUUUUUGUCAGCAGCCUGGUUCCUAUAUCCCUGUUCCAGAAUCUUUCACUAUUUAUAAAGCCUGAUCUAGCCAGUUAUGAUAUUGUGUAGUGCAGACAGCUUCCUAUGGAACCAGAAGGGAGGGAACAAAUCAUUCUAACCAGGAUGGGAAUAGGACAUGCUUCACUGAAAAGAUGACAUUAAACUGGGCUUUGAAGGAUGAAUAGGAGUUUUCUGUGUGGGAUUCCAUGAACAGAGGCACAGUGGUGUCAAAGUACAUGGAAUAAUCAGGGAAGAAUGAGGAGUACCUGGAUGUAGAGAAUGUAAUGUGUGCUGUGGGGGUGGAAGAAAUGAGGUGGAAAUCUUGGGAUGGGAUCUUGCUGAUGUAUGCAAAUAUGCCUAAGAAGGGACGAGUAGUUGAGAGCUCAAAUUUGGGAGCCAGGCUGCUUGGGUUCUGAUCUCAGCUGUAAUGCUUCCAGCCAUGGGCUUCUAUUUGCUGUAAAGUGAGAUAAUGGUAGUACUCGCUUCAGAGGGCUGAAGUGAGAAUUAAACGAGUAAAAUAUACGAAGCACUUAGCACCUGAGCAUAGUAAGUGACAUAAACAUUAACCAUUAGUAUUAUAGCAGGAGCCCAGUGAAGGCUGAAUGCAUUUGGUACACAUAUUCGUGCACGUUUGCAUCGCCACAUGUAAUGAGCAGUCCUCAGGAUACGAAAGUGAUGCUAUAACCUGCCUCCAAUCAGUGUGUGUACUUUUUAUUUCUCGGUGGCAGACAUCAAUGCACAUGAAGACAGUAUUAGCGAGCUUGACAGACUCCUCCUGACCAUGGGGCUGCAUUUAUACCUCCUCGGGCUGAAGCUUGGGUUCUGAAAUGGGGACAAAGGGAAGCAGAAAGUCACUCUUAGUGGAGCAGUGGACAGUUAUCAGUGUGAUUCGAGAAGCAUCGUGCCAAGAAAUUGCAGGAAGAGUGAGAGGUGCCAGAAGUCUCAAGUCAGGCAGAUCUUUUCAUAAAGAAGAAAAAGAUAGAUUAAAAAUUAUUAUGAGGAGCUCCUGUCGUGACUCAGUGGUUAAUGAACCCGACUAGUAUCCAUGAGGGCAUGGGUUUUGAUCCCUGGCCUCGCUCAAUGGGUUACGGAUCCGGCAUUGCAGACACAGCUGGGAUCCUGUGUUGCUGUGGCAUAGGCAGGCAGGUGCAGCUCUGAUUCCGAUUCAGCGCCUAGUCUGGGAACUUCCAUAUGCCACUAUGCAGCCCUAAAAAGACAAACAAAAAACAAAAA